GACGAACGCUGGCGGCGUGCUUAACACAUGCAAGUCGUACGGUAAGGCCCUUUCGGGGGUCCACGAGUGGCGAACGGGUGCGUAACACGUGAGUAACCUGCCCACAACUUUGGGAUAACGCUAGGAAACUGGUGCUAAUACUGGAUAUGUGCUCCUGCUGCAUGGUGGGGGUUGGAAAGCUCCGGCGGUUGUGGAUGGACUCGCGGCCUAUCAGCUUGUUGGUGGGGUAGUGGCCUACCAAGGCGGCGACGGGUAGCCGGCCUGAGAGGGUGACCAGCCACAUUGGGACUGAGAUACGGCCCAGACUCCUACGGGAGGCAGCAGUGGGGAAUAUUGCACAAUGGGCGCAAGCCUGAUGCAGCAACGCCGCGGGCGGGAUGACGGCCUUCGGGUUGUAAACCGCUUUCAGCAGGGACGAAGCUUUUUGUGACGGUACCUGCAGAAGAAGCACCGGCUAACUACGUG
Molecule: ribosomal RNA, 465 nt
Filed under: uncultured bacterium
Lineage: Bacteria
Description: partial 16S ribosomal RNA
Rfam family: Bacterial small subunit ribosomal RNA
Source: RNAcentral